RNAcentral lists this ribosomal RNA (404 nucleotides) under uncultured bacterium. RNAcentral's name for it is "bacterial SSU rRNA". It matches the Rfam family "Bacterial small subunit ribosomal RNA", at positions 355 to 775 of the family's 1533-position model. The record is from RNAcentral.
UGAGGAAUUUUCGGCAAUGGGCGCAAGCCUGACCGAGCAACGCCGCGUGCAGGACGAAGGUCUUCGGAUCGUAAACUGCUUUUCCCAGGGACGAGCGAGGACGGUACCUGGGGAAUCAGCCCCGGCUAACUACGUGCCAGCAGCCGCGGUAAUACGUAGGGGGCGAGCGUUAUCCGGAGUUACUGGGCGUAAAGCGCACGCAGGCGGUCGUGUAAGUUUGGGGUGACAGCUCCCGGCUCAACUGGGAGAGGACCUUGAAGACUGCAGGACUUGAGGGCCAGAGAGGGACACGGAAUUCCGGGUGUAGUGGUGAAAUGCGUAGAUAUCCGGAGGAACACCAAAGGCGAAGGCAGUGUCCUGGCUGGUACCUGACGCUCAGGUGCGAAAGCUAGGGGAGCGAACGG